UCCGGUUGAUCCUGCCGGAGGUCAUUGCUAUUGGAGUCCGAUUUAGCCAUGCUAGUUGUACGAGUUGAGACUCGUAGCAGAUAGCUCAGUAACACGUGGCCAAACUACCCUAUAGAUCCAGACAACCUCGGGAAACUGAGGCUAAUCCGGAAUAGGGCUCUCAUCUUGGAGUGGAGAGAGCCUGAAACGCUCCGGCGCUAUAGGAUGUGGCUGCGGCCGAUUAGGUAGACGGUGGGGUAACGGCCCACCGUGCCAGUAAUCGGUACGGGUUGUGAGAGCAAGAGCCCGGAGACGGUAUCUGAGACAAGAUACCGGGCCCUACGGNGGGGUAACGGCCCACCGUGCCAGUAAUCGGUACGGGUUGUGAGAGCAAGAGCCCGGAGACGGUAUCUGAGACAAGAUACCGGGCCCUACGGGGCGCAGCAGGCGCGAAACCUUUACACUGCACGCCAGUGCGAUAAGGGGACUCCAAGUGCGAGGGCAUAUAGUCCUCGCUUUUUGCGACCGUAAGGUGGUCGAGGAAUAAGUGCUGGGCAAGACCGGUGCCAGCCGCCGCGGUAAUACCGGCAGCACGAGUGAUGACCGCUGUUAUUGGGCCUAAAGCGUCCGUAGCUGGCCGCACAAGUCUAUCGGGAAAUCUCUCCGCUUAACGGAGAGGCGUCCGGUGGAAACUGUGUGGCUUGGGACCGGAAGACCAGAGGGGUACGUCUGGGGUAGGAGUGAAAUCCCGUAAUCCUGGACGGACCACCGGUGGCGAAAGCGCCUCUGGAAGACGGAUCCGACGGUGAGGGACGAAAGCUCGGGUCACGAACCGGAUUAGAUACCCGGGUAGUCCGAGCUGUAAACGAUGUCUGCUAGGUGUGACACAGGCUACGAGCCUGUGUUGUGCCGUAGGGAAGCCGUGAAGCAGACCGCCUGGGAAGUACGUCCGCAAGGAUGAAACUUAAAGGAAUUGGCGGGGGAGCACUACAACCGGAGGAGCCUGCGGUUUAAUUGGACUCAACGCCGGACAUCUCACCAGCAUCGACAAUGUGCAGUGACGGUCAGUAUGAUGAGCUUACCUGAGCCAUUGAGAGGAGGUGCAUGGCCGCCGUCAGCUCGUACCGUGAGGCGUCCUGUUAAGUCAGGCAACGAGCGAGACCCGCACCCUUAAUUGCCAGCAGCACCCUUGUGGUGGCUGGGUACAUUAAGAGGACUGCCAGUGCCAAACUGGAGGAAGGAACGGGCAACGGUAGGUCAGUAUGCCCCGAAUGUGCUGGGCGACACGCGGGCUACAAUGGCCAAGACAGUGGGAUGCAACGCCGAAAGGCGACGCUAAUCUCCGAAACUUGGUCGUAGUUCGGAUUGAGGGCUGAAACUCGCCCUCAUGAAGCUGGAUUCGGUAGUAAUCGCGCCUCAGAAGGGCGCGGUGAAUACGUCCCUGCUCCUUGCACACACCGCCCGUCAAAGCACCCGAGUGGGGUCCGGAUGAGGCCCGGUUUCCGGGUCGAAUCUGGGCUCCGCAAGGGGGCUUAAGUCGUAACAAGGUAGCCGUAGGGGAAUCUGCGGCUG
Molecule: ribosomal RNA, 1551 nt
Filed under: Natrialba chahannaoensis JCM 10990
Lineage: Archaea; Methanobacteriati; Methanobacteriota; Halobacteria; Halobacteriales; Natrialbaceae
Description: bacterial SSU rRNA
Rfam family: Archaeal small subunit ribosomal RNA
Source: RNAcentral